RNAcentral lists this ribosomal RNA (103 nucleotides) under Vibrio parahaemolyticus. RNAcentral's name for it is "partial 16S ribosomal RNA". The record is from RNAcentral. Lineage: Bacteria; Pseudomonadati; Pseudomonadota; Gammaproteobacteria; Vibrionales; Vibrionaceae.
UUAAAUUGAAGAGUUUGAUCAUGGCUCAGAUUGAACGCUGGCGGCAGGCCUAACACAUGCAAGUCGAGCGGAAACGAGUUAUCUGAACCUUCGGGGAAUGAUA